RNAcentral lists this ribosomal RNA (460 nucleotides) under uncultured bacterium. RNAcentral describes it as "partial 16S ribosomal RNA". It matches the Rfam family "Bacterial small subunit ribosomal RNA", at positions 338 to 795 of the family's 1533-position model. The record is from RNAcentral.
CCUACGGGAGGCAGCAGUGAGGAAUAUUGGUCAAUGGACGAGAGUCUGAACCAGCCAAGUCGCGUGAGGGAUGACUGCACAGUGGGUUGUAAACUUCUUUUAUAAAGGAAUAAAACGAGGCACGUGUGCCUUGUUGCAUGUACUUUAUGAAUAAGGAUCGGCUAACUCCGUGCCAGCAGCCGCGGUAAUACGGAGGAUCCGAGCGUUAUCCGGAUUUAUUGGGUUUAAAGGGAGCGUAGAUGGGUUGUUAAGUCAGUUGUGAAAGUUUGCGGCUCAACCGUAAAAUUGCAAUUGAUACUGGCAGUCUUGAGUACAGGUGAGGUAGGCGGAAUUCGUGGUGUAGCGGUGAAAUGCUUAGAUAUCACGAAGAACCCCGAUUGCGAAGGCAGCUUACUAACCUGUCACUGACAUUGAGGCUCGAAAGUGUGGGUAUCAAACAGGAUUAGAUACCCGUGUAGUC